CCUACGGGGGGCAGCAGUAGGGAAUCUUCCACAAUGGGCGAAAGCCUGAUGGAGCAACGCCGCGUGGGUGAAGAAGGUCUUCGGAUCGUAAAACCCUGUUGUUAGAGAAGAAAGUGCGUGAGAGUAACUGUUCACGUUUCGACGGUAUCUAACCAGAAAGCCACGGCUAACUACGUGCCAGCAGCCGCGGUAAUACGUAGGUGGCAAGCGUUAUCCGGAUUUAUUGGGCGUAACGGGAACGCAGGCGGUCUUGUAAGUCUGAUGUGAAAGCCUUCGGCUUAACCGGGGUAGUGCAUUGGAAACUGGGAGACUGGAGUGCAGAAGAGGAGAGUGGAACUCCAUGUGUAGCGGUGAAAUGCGUAGAUAUAAGGAAGAACACCAGUGGCGAAAGCGGCUCUCUGGUCUGUAACUGACGCUGAGGUUCGAAAGCGUGGGUAGCAAACAGGAUUAGAUACCCGAGUAGUC
RNAcentral lists this ribosomal RNA (465 nucleotides) under uncultured bacterium. Its description in RNAcentral is "partial 16S ribosomal RNA". It matches the Rfam family "Bacterial small subunit ribosomal RNA", at positions 338 to 795 of the family's 1533-position model. The record is from RNAcentral.